RNAcentral lists this ribosomal RNA (482 nucleotides) under uncultured bacterium. RNAcentral describes it as "partial 16S ribosomal RNA". It matches the Rfam family "Bacterial small subunit ribosomal RNA", at positions 28 to 507 of the family's 1533-position model. The record is from RNAcentral.
GAUGAACGCUAGCGGCAGGCCUAAUACAUGCAAGUCGGACGGGAUUCAGGAGCUUGCUUCUGCUGAGCGUGGCGCACGGGUGCGUAACACGUAUGUAAACUACCUUUAUCAGGGGGAUAGCCUCUCGAAAGAGAGAUUAAGCCCGCAUAAAAUCACAGCACAUCUUUGUUUAAUGAUCAAAUAUUUAUGGGAUAAAGAUGGGCAUGCGGAACAUUAGCUAGAUGGCGGGGUAACGGCCCACCAUGGCGACGAUGUUUAGGGGAACUGAGAGGAUGGCCCCCGAGACUGGUACUGAGACCAGGACCAGACUCCUACGGGAGGCAGCAGUAAGGAAUAUAGGGCAAUGGGCGGAAGCCUGAACCAGCCAUGCCGCGUGCAGGAAGACGGCCCUACGGGUUGUAAACUGCUGUUAUACGGGAAUAAACCCAGAUACGUGUAUCUGGCUGAAUGUACUGUAAGAAUAAGGAACGGCUAACUCCGUG